UGAGGAAUAUUGGUCAAUGGGGGCAACCCUGAACCAGCCAAGUCGCGUGAAGGAUGAAGGUCUUAUGGAUUGUAAACUUCUUUUACACGGGAAUAAAGUGGGGGACGUGUCCCCCUUUGCAUGUACCGUGUGAAUAAGGAUCGGCUAACUCCGUGCCAGCAGCCGCGGUAAUACGGAGGAUCCGAGCGUUAUCCGGAUUUAUUGGGUUUAAAGGGUGCGCAGGCGGGAUGUUAAGUCGGCGGUGAAAUUUUGCAGCUCAACUGUAAAAGUGCCUUCGAUACUGGCCUCCUUGAGUAUGGAUGAAGUAGGCGGAAUUUGUGGUGUAGCGGUGAAAUGCUUAGAUAUCACGAGGAACUCCGAUUGCGCAGGCAGCUUACUAAGCCACAACUGACGCUCAUGCACGAAGGCGUGGGGAUCAAACA
RNAcentral lists this ribosomal RNA (422 nucleotides) under uncultured bacterium. RNAcentral describes it as "bacterial SSU rRNA". It matches the Rfam family "Bacterial small subunit ribosomal RNA", at positions 355 to 774 of the family's 1533-position model. The record is from RNAcentral.